Molecule: transfer RNA, 67 nt
Filed under: Simosthenurus occidentalis (short-faced kangaroo)
Lineage: Eukaryota; Metazoa; Chordata; Mammalia; Diprotodontia; Macropodidae
Description: tRNA-Pro
Source: RNAcentral
CAGGAAGUAGUUUAAGUAGAAUGUCAGCUUUGGGGGUUGAUGGUAGGGUGUGUUGCUCUCUUCUUGA